GAAUGCUGGCGGCGUAGCCUAAUACAUGCAAGUCGAGCGGUAACAGGGCUUCACCGUGUCUGACGCACUUGGCCAUAGAGCAAGUAGCUGAUUUCGAGAGCACAGUGAAGCUGCUGACGAGCGGCGGACGGCUGAGUAACGCGUGGGAACGGACCCCAAACUGAGGGAUAACGCACCGAAAGGUGUGCUAAUACCGCAUAUGAUCUUCGGAUUAAAGGAUUUUCCGGUUUGGGACUGGCCUGCGUACGAUUAGAUAGUUGGCGGGGUAAUAGCCCACCAAGUCGACGAUCGUUAGAUGGUUUGAGAAGAUGAUCAUCCAGACUGGGACUGAGACACGGCCCAGACUCCUACGGGAGGCAGCAGUAGGGAAUCUUGGACAAUGGGGGCAACCCUGAUCCCAGCCAUGCCGCGUGAGUGAAGAAGGCCUUAGGGUCGUAAAGCUCUUUCGCCUGUGAAGAUAAUGACGGUAGCAGGUAAAGAAACCCCGGCUAACUCCGUGCCAGCAGCCGC
RNAcentral lists this ribosomal RNA (510 nucleotides) under uncultured bacterium. Its description in RNAcentral is "bacterial SSU rRNA". It matches the Rfam family "Bacterial small subunit ribosomal RNA", at positions 31 to 518 of the family's 1533-position model. The record is from RNAcentral.